RNAcentral lists this long non-coding RNA (1868 nucleotides) under Daucus carota (carrot). RNAcentral describes it as "long non-coding RNA (DCAR_LNC004459)". The stretch from base 1453 to 1757 matches the Rfam family "Plant signal recognition particle RNA". Lineage: Eukaryota; Viridiplantae; Streptophyta; Magnoliopsida; Apiales; Apiaceae. The record is from RNAcentral.
GCGCAGGCCUGUAACCCAAGUGGGAGCCAUAAGAUGGUUGGAGGUUGGAUUGGGCCAGAAGGUUGGGCUAGCAUGGGGUUAUACACUGGCCUGCCCAUUCCAAGUAGGGAGCAGGGUCAUGGGCUUUGGGCGAAAGCCAGGAGUUCAUUUCCCCUAAAGAGGAGGGCAUUGCGCUAGGCUGGCUUCACAGAGCAGCGAACACUUCCCUCUCCUGUCGGUGGAAGGAUAACAAGUCGGUUCUUCACUAGUCCAUCAAACACCGGAUGGGUCAUUCAACCAUACAACCAUCUUUUUAAAUCUGGUUUAAAUAGCCAAGUCACGAGCUUUUUCUGAUUCACACCCAUCAAACGUGUGGGAAAAUGAUUAAAUGUUUAUACACAGGACACUACAAAACAUCCCUCCCCUUGCUCCCCUUCCCCCUUUCAAUAUACUAAGAUACGUUCCUGCCUUCCAUAAGAUAGUAUUUACAUAUAAUCACGAAACCAAAAAGGAGUAAAGUUGGUCUAUCUGAUAACUGCAAACAAAUUAAACUAUCUUCAAUUAGCCUUUUUAAUUUUACCCAAAGGAAAGCAAUAUACAGUUGACAAAGUCUGCUUCCAGGAGACUAAAAAAGAGGACAAAAAUAAGGAAAACAGAUUAGGGGACAGACACUAAGAAAUUUAAACAAAAAUGCAAAUCAUUUACUGACUAAAAGAGGCCAGCAAUAAGGGAAAGUACAAGGUUGACAGACCCACUCUCGGUACACUAGAUGAGUGAUGCAUCUUACUGGAGACUUGGAAAGAAAAGGUGGGUCCAUAUGGCUGCUGCAUAUUACAGGAGACCAAAAAAAAUACGUUCGUUCAGACUGCAGCAUAUUACAGGAGACUUAAACAAUAGGGUUAGUUUACCAUAGACUUAAAAAGAAGAGGGUGGGCUUAGAUAGCUGCAGUAUAUUUGCCGAUAAAAAGAGGAGAGUGAUGAGAGGGAGUAAAUGGUUGACAAACCCAAGCUCGGUAGACUAUAUCAGGGUUGUAUAAUACCAGAAACCUGAAAUGAAAAGUGUGGGUGCAUAUGGCUUCUGCAUAUAACAGGAGACCAAAAAAACAGGGUCAAUCCGGCAGCUGCAUAUUACAGGCGAUUCAACGGAGACUUAAAGAGUACAGGGUGAGUCCACAUGGCUGCUGAAUAUUGCAGGGGCAUGGAAAAACAAGGUCGGUCCAUGACUGCGGCAUAUGACAGGAGACAAGAAAAAAGUUAUAGGAGUCUGUCAGACAACGACCACCCCAGCCAGGGACUCCAGCUGAGAACGAUCCUCUACUACUUGAAUGGUCAACUGACCAAACUGGCUGUUAAUCACGCUCUGGUCAUGCAGUCAUGUUUCAUCAACCAGACUUGGUCACCUGCCUCCACCACAUUGUCCAGGGAAUGGAGCCUGUGUUUGUUUACAGCCCCAGGGAGAUGGUCACACUUUCAGCUGGGUCUGGUAGCACAGGCCUGUAACCCAAGUGGGAGCCAUAAGAUGGUUGGAGGUUGGAUUGGGCCAGAAGGUUGGGCUAGCAUGGGGUUAUACACUGACCUGCCCAUUCCAAGUAGGGAGCAGGGUCAUGGGCUUUGGACGAAAGCCAGGAGUUCAUUUCCCCUAAAGAGGAGGGCAUUGCGCUAGGCUGGCUUCACAGAGCAGCGAACACUUCCCUCUCCUGUCGGUGGAAGGAUAACAAGUCGGUUCUUCACUAGUCCAUCAAACACCGGAUGGGUCAUUCGACCAUACAACCAUCUUUUUUAAUCUGGUUUAAAUAGCCAAAGUCAAAAGCUUCUUCUCAUUCACACCCUCAUCACACACCUAAUGAGUCAUUCAACCAUACAACCAUCUUUCAAGAUCGUUUUCUUAU